Molecule: ribosomal RNA, 366 nt
Filed under: uncultured organism
Description: bacterial LSU rRNA
Rfam family: Bacterial large subunit ribosomal RNA
Source: RNAcentral
CUUUACUGCAGCUUGACGUUGGAACUUGGCUGUAUUUGUGUAGGAUAGGUGGGAGACUUUGAAGCAGGGCCGCCAGGUCUUGCGGAGUCGUCGUUGAAAUACCACCCUGGUGCUGACGAGUUUCUAACCGCACCCGUAAGCCGGGUGUGAGACAUCGUCUGGUGGGCAGUUUGACUGGGGCGGUCGCCUCCUAAAAGGUAACGGAGGCAUUCAAAGGUUCCCUCAGCGUGGUCGGUAAUCACGCGAAGAGUGCAAACGCAUAAGGGAGCUUAACUGCGAGACCGACAGGUCGAGCAGGUACGAAAGUAGGAGUUAGUGAUCCCGCGGUUUAGCGUGGAAUUGCCGUUGCUCAAUGGAUAAAAGGUA